UCAUCCCCAGUUAUGAUACUGAAAUAAAAAUAUCUAAUUAGAAUAACCAUAAUUAAAUAAAAUUAAAGAUGCAUACACCAUUACAAUUUUCUGCAUUAAAAUCUACCAGCUGAAAAAAAAAUACAUCAUAUUCUUAAUUAAGAUCUUCUACCUGAUUGUCUAUAGCAACAUGUAUCUUGAGAGAAGCUGUCUUGUUCUUUUCUUCUCAAAGGGGUUGAAUUUUGUGUCGAAGUGAUUAAAUAUGCAAAAGUACCUUCCUAAGAGGCAUCUUGUAAGCCGUUACUGACAUUCAGGAAGGACUACUAAGACGACAGUACUAACUGGACAACUGCAAAACUCUGCAAAGCUCUGGUGUACAAAAAUCCAUUACCUGAAGUGGCCCAAGCCUUAACUACACACAGUAACUAUAAGGACCAGCAACGAAGAUAAGAAUGGGUGUUCUCUUUUCUAGCACGGAGAAGGAAGAUACUUCAUAUGAAGGCCACAGUCUUGCACAGAUAAGAAUAAUGAAGGAUACAUGGUAAUGAAGUUUAACAGGGAGACUUUUUUAUUUCUACAUUAUUGCUCUUUGACAAUAAAGUCGUAUACAAAACUCCUCA
Molecule: long non-coding RNA, 599 nt
Organism: Corvus hawaiiensis (hawaiian crow)
Lineage: Eukaryota; Metazoa; Chordata; Aves; Passeriformes; Corvidae
Exons: 2
Source: RefSeq, a predicted model, not a curated record